RNAcentral lists this ribosomal RNA (982 nucleotides) under human gut metagenome. RNAcentral's name for it is "bacterial LSU rRNA". It matches the Rfam family "Bacterial large subunit ribosomal RNA", at positions 1945 to 2925 of the family's 2925-position model. The record is from RNAcentral.
ACGGUCCUAAGGUAGCGAAAUUCCUUGUCAGGUAAGUUCUGACCCGCACGAAAGGCGUAAUGAUUUGGGCGCUGUCUCGACAAUGUACUCGGCGAAAUUGUAGUACUAGUGAAGAUGCUAGUUACCUGCGACAAGACAGAAAGACCCCAUGGAGCUUUACUGUAGCUUGAUACUGGGUUUCGAUAAUUUAUGUACAGGAUAGGUGGGAGACUAUGAAGCAAGUGCGCCAGCAUUUGUGGAGUCAAUGUUGGGAUACCACCCUUAAGUUAUUGGAAUUCUAACCUGCGGUCCUAAGCGGGCCGGGGGACAAUGUCAGGCGGGCAGUUUGACUGGGGCGGUCGCCUCCUAAAGAGUAACGGAGGCGCGCAAAGGUUUCCUCAGCGCGGACAGAAAUCGCGCGAAAGAGUGCAAAGGCAGAAGGAAGCUUAACUGAGAGACUGACAAGUCGACCAGAUACGAAAGUAGGUCUUAGUGAUCCGGCGGUAGUGAGUGGAAAUGCCGUCGCUCAACGGACAAAAGUUACCCUGGGGAUAACAGGCUUAUCUCCCCCAAGAGUUCACAUCGACGGGGAGGUUUGGCACCUCGAUGUCGGCUCAUCACAUCCUGGGGCUGGAGUAGGUCCCAAGGGUUGGGCUGUUCGCCCAUUAAAGUGGUACGCGAGCUGGGUUCAGAACGUCGUGAGACAGUUCGGUCCUUAUCUGUCGCAGGCGCAGGAUAUUUGAGGGGAGUUGGCCCUAGUACGAGAGGACCAGGCUGAACUUACCAAUGGUGCACCAGUUGUCAUACCAAUGGCAUAGCUGGGUAGCUAAGUAGGGAAGGGAUAAACGCUGAAAGCAUCUAAGUGUGAAGCCCACCCCAAGAUAAGAUAUCCCAUACCGUAAGGUAGUAAGAUUCCACGUAGACUAUGUGGUUGAUAGGUUGGAGGUGUAAGUACAGUAAUGUAUUAAGCUGACCAAUACUAAUAAAUCGAGGGCUUAACCAC